GACGAACGCUGGCGGCGUGCUUAACACAUGCAAGUCGAGCGGUAAGGCCCUUUCGGGGGUACACGAGCGGCGAACGGGUGAGUAACACGUGGGUGACCUGCCCUUAGCUCUGGGAUAAGCCUGGGAAACGUGGGUCUAAUACCGGAUAUGACUCCAUGACGCAUGUUGUGGGGUGGAAAGCCUUGUGCGGCUAGGGAUGGGCCUGCGGCCUAUCAGCUUGUUGGUGGGGUGAUGGCCUACCAAGGCGACGACGGGUAGCCGGCCUGAGAGGGCGACCGGCCACACUGGGACUGAGACACGGCCCAGACUCCUACGGGAGGCAGCAGUGGGGAAUCUUGCGCAAUGGGCGAAAGCCUGACGCAGCGACGCCG
RNAcentral lists this ribosomal RNA (371 nucleotides) under uncultured bacterium. RNAcentral's name for it is "bacterial SSU rRNA". It matches the Rfam family "Bacterial small subunit ribosomal RNA", at positions 28 to 399 of the family's 1533-position model. The record is from RNAcentral.